This 618-nucleotide long non-coding RNA is filed under the name Capsella grandiflora. RNAcentral describes it as "long non-coding RNA (CGRA_LNC000423)". The record is from RNAcentral. Lineage: Eukaryota; Viridiplantae; Streptophyta; Magnoliopsida; Brassicales; Brassicaceae.
UCUUACCCGAAAAAUCAAGAUUUCAUUCUUUCUUUUUUGGUUCGAUGAAUGCAGUUGAAACUGCUUAGAAACCCAUAUCCAUGAUGAUACCACCUACAUCUAGAGGUGAAGGGGAUGGUCAUCUUUCAAAGUGUUGCUUUUCAUGCAUGUUUUCAAUAAUUGUCAUGAUUGUAUAUGCCUUUUAUUUCCUAUUUUUAGUAAUUGUGUCUUUCCCUCAACGACAAUUUUCAUUUCAUCUCUAAAAUAUCAGAAAUAUUAUUCAACACUUAACCCUUAAAUUAUUUUAUUAAUAUUCACAAGAAAAACUGAAACUUGUAUAUUAAAAUACAUAAAACAAAAAUAAAUUAUAUAUGUGGCAAACAAAAAUUUAUUAUAUGUGUGGCAAAUUAUAUAAUUUCUAAAACAUUUUAUAUUAUGAAACACAUGGUUUAAUAUAACAAACAUAAUCCAUCUUUCUUUGGGUUGCUAAAAAUGAUAUUUCCUCUUAUACCCUAUUACUCUCUAACUUGGACAUAUGUUUGAGAUAACAGAAACCCUCUUCUAAUAACCCAAAACUUUUAUUUACCAAAAUGAACUAUGAGGCCACCAUAUUAGUAUGAUAUAAUUGUGAAAUUAUGC